AUUUUCUUUGAAAAUGGAAGCUAUAAAGUAAAACUUUUUUCAUUCUUCAUCGUUUUUUUUUCGCUUGAAUUGUGAUUUUUUUAUUUGCUUCAUUCUUGUUCUGCUGUUUUUUUUUCUUUUUUGGCUUAUGCCGCAUCCUCUUUGCCCUUCAUUCAUCCUCUUUCAGAGAUUUUUUGUUUGCGGCUUUCAUUGAAAUUCAACCCCAAAAAAAGCGACCAACAAAAAAAAAUAACAAUUCAAUAAAAAAAUGCCUACCACCCCGCCGAGCUCCAAUCUAAUGAAAAUAAAACAGAUUUUGGUUCUUUAUUGUGUUUGCACGGUGCAUGUGUGAGCAAGAGGUAAUGAGUGUGCAAAAGAGAUGCAGAAAGUUGUUUGGUUAGUAAAUGGGAGAAAACAAAAAUUACAAAAAGAAUGAACCAAAAAACAACACGAGCGAAAAAGUGAUUAUAACGUAAGACAAAAAAAAAAACAAAAAAAAUAUAUGGAAAAGAAAAUAAAUAACAAAUAACAUAAGAAUAAGUGUGCAAUAGGAGGUGAGAAAAAACACAAAACAGAAAAACUGAAGGAAUUGUUGGAUAAAAAUAAACUAUGAAAGAAUACAGGUGAAAUACUAUAAAUAAAAGAAAAUAAAAAUAGCACAGUUGCAAUUUUUAGGAGGAUUAUGCCAUAAAAUGAUGUAAAGUACUAAAUAACGUUGAGUUGCAAAAAAGGUACUUUUUCUGCAUGCACGUGUUAAAACUACAUAAAAAAUGUAAACAAAAGAAAACAAACCAUAACAAAAGGCAAUGCUGUAUUUAUAAAAUUUUUUAAAUGUUGGAAUAAAUUGAAAACAAUAAAUUGUGCAACAAAAUGAACGAUAGUGAUCGAUAGGGAAUCGAUUAAGGAAUCGAUCUCUGUAUUGAUUUUUUUGCAGGGUGCUUUCUAUCGGAUGAUGUGAAGUAACAAACUUUGACAAACUCACAAAUCUAACGAAAAAGAGAAAUAAGUUUUUAUACAAAAAAAUUUUAAAAUAUUCCGUGUGCACCAAAACAGCUAAUAGUGAUCGAUAGAGAAUCGUUUAACGAAUCGAUCCCUAUAUUAAUUUUUUUCCGGAGUACUUUCUAUUGGACGUUGUGACGCAACAAACUUCGUUAACUUCACAAAAUCUGACAAAAGAAGAGAAAAAGUUUUUAUACAAAAAAAUUUUUAAAUAUUCCGUGUGCACCAAAACAGCUAAUAGUGAUCGAUAGAGAAUCGAUUAACGAAUCGAUCCCUAUAUUCAUUUUUUUCCGGAGUACUUUCUAUUGGAUGCUGUGAUGCAACAAACUUCGGUAACUUCACAAAAUCUGACAAAAAAGAGAAAAAAGUUUUUAUACAAAAAUUUUUUUAAAUAUUCCUUGUGCACCAAAACAGCUAAUAGUGAUCAAUAGAGAAUCGAUUAACGAAUCGAUCCCUAUACUCAUUUUUUUCCGGAGUACUUUCUAUUGAACGCUGUGACGCAACAAACUUCGGUAACUUCACAAAAUCUGACAAAAAAGAGAAAAAAGUUUUUAUACAAAAAAUUUUUUAAAUAUUCCUUGUGCACCAAAACAGCUAAAAGUGAUCAAUAGAGAAUCGAUUAACGAAUCGAUCCCUAUACUCAUUUUUUUCCGGAGUACUUUCUAUUGGACGCUGUGACGCAACAAACUUCGGUAACUUCACAAAAUCUGACAAAAAAGAGAAAAAAGUUUUUAUAUAAAAAAAUUUUUAAAUAUUCCUUGUGCACCAAAACAGCCAAUAGUGAUCGAUAGAGAAUCAGUUAAGCAAUCGAUCCCUAUAUUCAUUUUUUCCCGGAGUACUUUCUAUUGGACGCUGUGACGCAACAAACUUCGGUAACUUGAACUUACUAACUUCACAAAAUCUGAUAAAAAAGAAAUAAAAGUUUUUAUCAAAAAAAAAAAAUUAAUAUUCCGUGUGCACCAACACAGCCAAUAGUGAUCAAUAGAGAAUCAAUUAAGGAAUCGAUCCAUUUUUUCCGGAGUACUUUCUAUUGGACGCUGUGGCGCAACAAACUUUGACUUCACAAAAUCUGACAAAAAAGAGGAAAAAAAUUUUUACAAAAAAAAUUAAAAUAUUCGAUUAAGGAAUCGAUCCCUAUAUCGAUUUUCAAAUCCUAAUAAAUAUGAAGAAUAUUAUUUAGGACUGUCAUUUGUUAGAUUUAAACAUAUGUAAUUUUACAAAAAUAAUUUCGAAAAUAAAUUUUAAUAUAGAUAUUUCAUUUUCAUUUAUUCCUACCUAAGCAAACAUCUGGCAACAUAUUGAAUAACUUAAAAAGCUCUUUUCCCACUAAGUAUCAUUCUAUGUUGAAUGACAGAUAUCAAAAGAACUUGAAGAACUCGCGCCUGCUUUUUAUUCCGUGCAGAAUUCUGGUGAUUUUGGAUGAGCAAUUACUACCUUUGAUUCCUGUUUUUAAAAUGAUGUCUGUAGUAAAAGCAGACGGUGAGAUGAAUUUUAACCAUAAACAUUGACCAAAAGCAGACAGCAAAUAGAUGGCGAUCCAAAGAUUUACUGCAUUUGCAACAAAUGAUGCCUUGUUAUUGGGGAAUUGCUCAAUGUUAUGACGCAACCGAUAAUCUAUGGACGCAACAAACUGAACAACUCCAAAUUAAUGAAAACAUUUUUGUACUAAAAAAAUUUAAAAUCUUUUUGUGCCAAUAAAUUCAAUUAAUA
Molecule: long non-coding RNA, 2688 nt
Organism: Lucilia cuprina (Australian sheep blowfly)
Lineage: Eukaryota; Metazoa; Arthropoda; Insecta; Diptera; Calliphoridae
Exons: 2
Source: RefSeq, a predicted model, not a curated record